RNAcentral lists this ribosomal RNA (301 nucleotides) under uncultured bacterium. Its description in RNAcentral is "partial 16S ribosomal RNA". It matches the Rfam family "Bacterial small subunit ribosomal RNA", at positions 509 to 808 of the family's 1533-position model. The record is from RNAcentral.
CAGUAGCCGCGGUAAUACGUAGGUGGCAAGCGUUGUCCGGAAUUACUGGGCGUAAAGCGCACGUAGGCGGCUUGGUAAGUUAGAGGUGAAAGCCCGGAGCUCAACUCCGGAAUUGCCUUUAAGACUGCCGAGCUAGUAGGUGAGAGAGGUAAGUGGAAUUCCGGUGGAGCGGUGAAAUGCGUUGAGAUCGGAAGGAACGCCCGUGGCGAAAGCGAGGUCCCGGACGUCUACUGACGCUGAGACGCGAAAGCUAGGGGAGCGAACGGGAUUAGAUACCCCCGUAGUCCCUGUCUCUUAUACC